This 275-nucleotide long non-coding RNA is filed under the name Homo sapiens (human). RNAcentral's name for it is "non-protein coding lnc-PFN2-5:1". The record is from RNAcentral. Lineage: Eukaryota; Metazoa; Chordata; Mammalia; Primates; Hominidae.
UUUUAUAUUUUUGCUAUUAGAUUAUAAAUUAUUUGAGAGCAAAGCCUGUCCUCUGGUUUUACAUUUAUUCAUUCAAUAAGCACCAUGGCACUAUGUGGGGGAUCAAAAAUAAAUAAGAAAUAAUUUCCUUUCCUCUGUGGACCAGGGUCUACUUUGGAAGAAAUAAUGUUUAUACAAAAAAAAAACAACAAAAAACCCUCAAUAAGCAGAGAAAUGAGAGAUAAGGUUUAAAACAUGAGUUGAGGUCAUGAAAACAUGGAGAGUCUGUUAGGUUU